GGUGGAGCUAAGGUAUAAAAAUAAUUCACAAGUACUUAUAGGCAAAGGAUAAAGUUGUUAGAAUACAGAAAAUAUUGGGAAAUGGUUUGAAGGGGUGUAUUUAUGUCAUUUUCUUAAAAAUAUUUUUCUAUAUUCAUUAUUGGUGUGCAAAAGAGUUUCAUAGGAUAAACUUCAAAUACACAAUAAGUUUAGUGAUUGACUGCAUUUUGUAUGAACAAAAUUAAUUUACUGAACAUUUAUUGAUAAAUGACAAGAUUAUCAAAUUUUUAGUAGAAUUUUUCUAUAGCAAAACAAUAUAGAAGCAAUUCAAAAGAAUUUGAAGGUAGAGAAAGUGAUUGUAAGUUGUUUCUUUGUUGAUAUAAUUUCAUAAAAGCCAACAAGUUUUAUUUAUAAACAAAUAUAUGUCUCUUUGGUCAAAGCUAAUCAACCUUUUGAACAAAUAUAGUUGUUCGAGCAAAUAUAAUUAUUCGACCAAAUCAGGGAGACUGCAUUAAUUAUGUAAUUUUUUCUAUAAAUAUUACUUUAACUUAUAUUAAUCUGGGGUGAGCAACAUUGUAAGGUUAUCAUGGAUCAUGGUGGACCAAUGGGUUUGGAUUGAUUUUGAGGUGAUCUUGUGACUUAACGAGUGAUCCAUGAUUCAAAUUUUGUACGACCAACACUUUUAAGGUGGUCCAUUGUCCUAGACAUUUUACCCAUUUACACUAGAUUAAAAGACUAGACUUGUUCUAUGGUGUAGUCCUUUUGAAAUUGAGUCUUGAAUCGAUUCUAAACUAACAAUCAUUUAAAAAAUUAUAUAAAAAUAAGAUAAAUAUUUAGAAAUUAUAAGACUUGAACUCAUAAUAAGAAAGAUGUUGUUUUUAAAAGAUCUAAACCAUAUUAAGUUAAAGAGUUACAUAAUAUUAAAACAUUUAUAUCCAAUACAAACAAUAAAUAAAUAAAUAAAAAAUCUACCAACAGCACCAAACAAAAUGUAAGACUUUUAAAGUAGUGUAACUUAAAAAUAAAUGUGACCUAUAGCGCGGAUAUGUAUGAAUUUUUCUUAUAGUAUUUAUGAAUUUGAUAUACUAUUUAAGUGUAAUAUUAUUAUUUUUUAAAUAAUCAUAAGAAUUUUUAAUCAUAUCAAAUCAUAAGCUUAAUCGUAGAAUUAAUCUUACAAAACUAUGACCUAAUCCAUAAUUAAAAUUUUUUAAAACCAAUCAUAUACAAGUGAUGCAUAAUCAUGACUUUAAAAAAAUCCACCUAAACCAUGUAGUAGCGGAGGAAAUGGGGGGUUAGUAGGGCUCCUGUUUUUCAAAAGUUUUAAAAUUUCAUAAUAUAUUUUUAAUUUUUUUAAGAUUUUAGAAUUUUAUCCUUACAAUAAAAUUUUGUUUAGUGAAAUGUUUUAUAGUAAUUAGUCAAUAAUUAAUUUUAAUGGACUUAAAAAUUAAAUAAAAUCUAUUGCAAAAGAAUUAUUUUCUAAGCCACACUGUUCUAAGACCUUAGGAUCAACUCAGCUCUUGUCCGUCCCCUCAAACGCGAAAUCCUUACUCCGCGGCUAAAUAAUGCUCACCUCUAAAUUAUUAGAAGACAAUGAUUAACAUUUUCCUAAUUUCAAUAAUAAUGAGUGAAAUGAAAUUGCAACUAGACAUGUAAUGGUAACUUGGGUAUGGGGUGUGAGGUUUACAUGGAGGAAGAGAGAGUGAGUAAAGACAUCAGGGGUGAGGGAGAGGGCGUGCAAAGUGGGUCCAAAUCGAGGUGAAUGUGGGGUAUCAACCGGACCAGCACACAAAUGUCCAGUGACUAAUAUUCAACAGUUCACAGGCUGUGCUGUGAGACCCUGCAAGGGUAAAUAGACGAUGGUGAUCGACCUGCUGUCCCCGUACCCAGUCACCUCGCGUGCUGUCUGUUUUGCCAGGCUAGUGCGGCGUUUGAUCCCUCACUCCCACCCGACAGCUGCCUGCAGCCGGUAACCUGUCAGUCACCUCUCCAACUCUUUAAAACACAAAACGGAACCAAAAGAAAAUGAACGCUAACUUUUCACCUAUGGAAUAAUUUACUCAUUCACUUUCACACAUGCUGCCAAAACAAACACACACACACACACACACCCUGGUGACCGCUUUUUCUUUUCUACUUCACUUUUUUCUCUGACUUUCUUUCUUUCUCUCUCUCUUUUCUCGAGGAAAUUGUUGAGGUUUUCACAGGCUUACGGUCAGCUGGAGCCUGCAUUGAAGUAUGGGGAGGGAAGGAAAUAGAAAAAGAAGCGCCCGGUAAACAAGGCUAACUGUGACAGGUUGAGGGUGAGGGUGACAAGUAAAGACACGUGGCAAGAUCGGCAGUGCUUGAUUUGUCUUUUUGUUGGUUUUGAUGUAUGAUGAAAUGAUACUGACAAAGUAUGGUAGUAUAUGGGGAACAUGGGAGUUAGGAGUAGGUAUAUUAUGAUCAUGAUGAGACUUUUCAUAGAGUAUGGCAAUAAAUGUUUGGAACCUGGAAAUAGCCAGGAUUUGAGUCAAAUUAUGUAAGCACAAAAAUAUAGGUGUAAUUUUCUUCACUUUGCAUUAUGGGCCAUCAAUAUGAGCUUGUUUCAUUAUGAUUUUUGUUGAUUCUCUCCUUUAAUAUCUACUCCUCCUACUAAGCAAUGACAGGAGUCAAUACUCUGCAGUUAUCAUUUUGGAAGCAAAUUCUUCUGAUAUCAUGGAACUGUUUUAACUUUUAAAUCAAGCAACUUGAAUUGAAUGGCAUCACUUUUUAAGACAGCAGAUAACAUUCCCUUCCCUCCAGGCUCCAACAUUCAGACCAGUUAAUAGCUUAUAUAUAUAUAUAUAUAUAACCUAUAAUUAAUUAAUUUGAUGUAGUUGCUAACAUUGACAUAUCUAUAUAUUGAAAUCAAUAUUGUAAAUUAUAAUAUCCUCAACACUGAUGGACUAAUUUAUGCUAGCUAUGGAAUUCUUAAAUUAUUACUGCAGAAAGGAACAGGGGGCCUGCAACAAAAUACUCAGGUAGAUGAUGGGGUUUACAAUUAUUUUACAUAUUCUCCGUUGGAGAACGAAGCAUGUCAAUUUGUUUACAGGAACCACGACAUUCUCACUUGGAAAAGCAUGCUUUCUGUUGACGUAAGCAAAACCUUCAUCUCUUCGUAUGGUGCUUCUGUUUUGUCAGAUCAAUUAUUAGUAUAUAUCAGAUACAUUUGUUUUUUCUUCUCUAUUAGUGUAUCAGUACAUCCUUAGCAUGGAGAGGAAAGGCAAGAGAGAAAGCAUGCUUUGGAUUGAUAUACGAAGAUCAUUGAAUAAUGAACCCAAAAACCAUUUGUUUAAAGGGAGGCGAUUACCCCAAUGUCUUAAGGGAAAGUAAUAUUUAACAUAGACUUCAUAAUCAUGCUUUCUGCUCCCAUGCUUAUUUACUAUAGCCAUUACCCCAUUGUAAAAAGGCUUCCUCUUAUUCCUUUUGUCUUCAUUUGCUUGGGAAUUCCAAAUGUUGGGGAGGGUGUCCUCCUUAUUUAGACUCCCUUAAAGUUGAAAUCAUGGCUCUUAUUGUUCCAUUGGUUCACUUUUUGAAUUCCUUCGAAAAGCCAUGAGGUCAUUUUGAGGAAGGUCGUUAUAUAAUAAUUGAGGGGACUCAUUGCUCGAGAUACUGCUCUCCUUUGUCUACUUCUACUCUUAGACUGGUGCAUAGUCAUAGGAUUUGUCCACGUACAUGGAAUUACAAAUUAAUGUCUUGUACAUUAUUUCCUUGGUCUAGUAUACAAAGAUGCAACAAGUUUGGAGGUUUUGCCCUGGAAGAUGGGAGCAAUGGUUGUUUUUGAGCCAUCGGCCUUGGUUCGGCUCAAGUUACCAAUCUCUAAAGGUGAAAGUAUGGGCUUAUGACCAAAAAGUUGGGCUAGCUUGGCUUGGAUUAGAGGUUUAGUUUAGGUCAAUAUAAGGUACCAAGCAAGCAAGCCAAGCCGAACCUAGUCUGCUCAAUUUUCUACACAGUGGACGCCCCAGAGCAAACCAUUACUGGGGCCUGGGCUUGCUGGGCUCAAGUUUUACCACAUGCUUCAACCCUGGCUCAACUUAAAUUGAAGUUGACAUACCAUAGCGAAAUGUUGCAGUAUCAAAGCUUAAGAGCUUGGAAAAGAGGUAAAAAUAAUCUGUUGAUUAUAUGGACCUUUAGCUCAGGUCAAGACGAUUGAUUUCUGUAUAGAUUAUAUGUAAUUACAUCAGAAGUCGGGCCAUAUAACUAAAGAAAUGUAGUUCACAGCUAGAGUCCUGAUGGUGCGGCAGUACCAGAACCAACAAAAGUAGUCCAUUCACCUAAAUAAGUAUCUCACCAUGGUUAAGCAAACACCUUUGAAGGCCUAAAGAUUAAAGACUAAUCUCCAAUGCGGACACCUCAGCUGCUGAAAGCCAUCCUUUUCUUCUGAACUUCAGUAGGUAGCUUAACCUCAGUUGCCUGUCCGAUAACUUGAAGAAAUUUGAUUACACACCAAGUCAUGUCCAGUUGCCACCAUUCCAGACCAUGUCUGGCUGAGUAUUCGAAAGCAUGGUGGUUAUUAUGCCAACCCUCUCCAAAUGCAAGCAAUGCCACCCACCUGAAAAAGUUUGCAGAUAUUUUUAUUAGUAACUUCUUAAGAAAUAGACUUGACAAGAACUAGAUGUAUAUUAGUACAAGGGAAGUCAAUUGUACCAAUUGUUCCUGGACAAAUCACCAGAAUUCCAUGCUUGCUUCCCCCACACAUGGCAAGCUGAAUUUACCAGCCAAGUGAUGUGGUAAACCCAUACAAUCCUCACACCCUGCAAUGCUCGCACGUUAAUGCCUAGGCCUCCUUAUGGUUAGUAUGCUUAUUUGUCUUCGCUAAGUAAAAGUUUCACUUUUGAAGAUUAAAAUUAUACAGAAACUACUCCAGUCCAAAGUUGUUUGAUCUUCAUUCUAGCAAAUCGAAUGUAACACAAAUGGGCUCCCCAAAAGCAAAAUUUAUCUACUUGAGGAAUCAGAAAUGAUAACCCCAGCCCCACGUUUGUUACAGGAUUACCUUUUUCUAACAAACUGUCCAAACUGUUAUCAUAUUAGCAUAGAUAAGCAUGGCCCAGCUUAAAGAUUCAAUUAGAUAAGACUUCCAACUUGUGAUUUAGUCCACAAGCUAGAAUCUAACAUGCUUUCUCAUUUUUCCCUUCACUUUGAGCCAGAGUACAACUUCCUAUGGCUAUGUUCUUUCCUGUCAACUUAAUGACAAAAAUCAUUUGAAAGUAGGGCCACUAGCUUGGUGGUAUGAAGUAAAUUGCAAGUGGAAGGCCCACCAAUCAAACAAAGGGUUUGGGACUCUUUAAGGAUUUUUUCCGUCCUUUUUUCUUUUUCUAAUAACGAAAAAGGAUGGCUGCAACUCAUGCAAGAGACUAUGUUAGCGGAGCUCCAUGAAAACUUUUAGCUUAAGAUAUCUCUAUGCUCUAAAAAGGAAUAUUCAAGGCAAAAUAGACUAAUCCUCAAAACAUGGGAAAAUUGAAAAACUCGCUUACCAUUCCCCAAACAAGGAAGGGAAACCCUCCUAGAGCAUAUAGCAAAACUCCAAGUGCAAUUGGAUGAAGAAUGUAGGUACCCUGAAGAAACUUGUAGAAGGGCUGCUGCCGUAGAUCCCCAACAUUGGUUGGUUCUCCACACUGCAAAUGUUCCAUUGAUACAAAACAUUAAGAAUAUCAAUUCGUUCUGUGCAUAUGUGAGUGCUUGCAUGUUUGAGAAAGAGAGAGAUAGAGUUACCCUUUCAACAACGGUGUCGGUAUCAAAGAGCCAGCUCAUGUGGCUGAACCAAAACCCUUCAAUGGGGCUAUGGGGGUCUCUGUCUGAAUCACAAAAUUGGUGGUGGUACCUAUGUGUGCUUACCCAGUCAAUUGGAUUCCCCUGCAAACACCAAAACCAACAAUCAUAUAACAAUCAAAUGAUACUGCCAUGUCCAUGACAAUAUUCCUCAAAAAUAUUUAAAGCUACCAACCUGAAGUGCCUGAACUCCACAAUAAGCAAAGAAGUACUCAAGCCAUUUUGGAACCUUGAAGCUUCUAUGAGAAAGAUUCCUAUGAAAAGACAAUGUAAUCCCCAGAAGUCCUGUCACCCCAUAGAGUCCCACAGCAAGCCAAAAAGCGGGCCAAUUGAAAUGAAAAGGUGCAAAAAGGCUGAGCAAAUGCAUGCCUACAACAACACCAGCAGUGGCCAUAUCCAAAGUGUUCCAUUUUCUUCCCCAAAACACUUCCUUCUUCCUUUGCACCACCACAUUAGAUAACAAAAUUCUACCCGAGGUUUUCCCUUCUGGGUCGGGCUCGUUUGCUCCAACUGACACCCCAUUAGCCAAUGCCAACACUUUCCUAUUGCUGUAACUCCUAUUCAAACGAGUGAUAAAACUCGCCUGCAGAGGACUCUGCUCUCCGUUUAUUUGAUUGAAUUUUGGGUUUUGAUGGCCAAAGUUUAAGACUUUGCAAGAGCAAGAUCUGGUUUUUAUUGUUGUCGCUCUUUGAGGAGGUGAUACAGCUAAGGAUUUUGGCUUUGACAAUAACGAUGUGAUUAAAGCCAUUGGGUCUCAAUUGGUGGGGUUCUCAAGAAAAAAUUGGGUUUUUGUUGGGUUUUAUAAAAGUUGUGGUUGGUUUGUCCUUUUCUUUUUGAAAGAUGGUUUAUUUAUUGAACCGAUUACUUAGAAUGCCGUAACAACUCUUGAACCAGAGUGGUAGAAGACCUCUAUUAACGUAAGAAGACUAGAUUUGGUGAGAAGGUUGGUUUGUACUUAAAACGAUAAAAUUUGAAGAUUUUGAGUUAUUGUCAAAGCACGAAGUAUAUAAAGCGGGAAAAAGCGUGGAUUAUGGAAAGAGAAAGUGAGCUAACGAAAAGGACAAAGGAGAUAAAAGCUGAUAAGGUGAUCUUGUUUAGAUGGGAAGAUGUGAGGUGAAAUGAGACUCAGAUAUUCUUUUGCUAGGAUUUUGUUUUAGCCCAUUAAUUUUCUAAAUUAUCUACUUGGAUGGAUAGAUAUUUUCUUUUCUCUUUCCUUUUUAUAGGAGUUCUUUCUCUAGUGCCCUUUUGUCUGAUUCUAUCCUUUCUUGCCUGGUUGACAGAUAAGGCUACUCUCUCGCUAGGAAGUUAAAGCAGCAGAAAAACCGGUGAGAGAAAUGGCAGCAACCGCGUCAAUCUUUACGUCUCCGACUCAACCCUUUUCGGCCACGCGGUCGGUGAGAGGUACAAGUGCCAAGCCAUCUAUUUCAAAGCCGAGUAGGGAGUCUCUUUAGACCUGCUUUUUUAACACCCAGUUAGGGAUCUUUGAUUGCUUACAUCGUUUUUCACGUUUUUGGUUGGGGAUUUGAGUUCAGCUCCCUUGAGCUGAAAUUGGGUACAAAUCUUAAUCACCAAUGGUGUGUUCGGCUUAGGUACUCUUGCUUAACUGGAAGCAACUGUACCCUUAGUAAGCAGUCAAGAGGAUCUUUCUUUAAAUGUUAUUAAAUUACAAAUCAUGGUAACUAGAUUAUCUUGCGAGAUAUAUUGAAAACAAUGGAAUUAUCCAAUCAUUUUGCCUUCAAGUUAAGAGUUAUUUCAUGCUUGUCUGUGUCAUGAUUCAUGCUCUGGUUUUUAUGCGUAAGUUGGCAUUUCUACUUUCUUAAAAGCUUGCAAUUUUAUUAACCGGUACAGUUGGUUUGCUAGGUCUCUGGUUUUGAGGAAGUGUAGAAUGGCAAAUAGGAAUCCUUGGGCUAUGACCUGUUUUAGAUUUGAUUAUUUAGGGCGCAACUUUCCCUUAAAUUUCAAUCCUGUAUUGCGCUGCAUAAUUUUGUACACUUCUAAGCUGAAAUUAUAUCAUUUGAGUCAGAAAAUCCAAAUAUCAUUGAGCAAGUCAUUUACUUCGUAGUCUCCAUCAAAUGAACUAGAGCUUCUAAAAUGAGUUGGUAACCUAGGGCUUUGGAGUUGGCAGUUGCUUCAUUCUGUUUAUAUCUGCAAUAAAUUCUAUGUGCCAGAACAAACUAAUGUUGUUGUGACUCAAAAUGCCAAGUAAAAUAGCUAGACCUUAUGCCUCAAAUUUCUGAUGCCAAACAGUUUUGCAAUUUUUUCAGAUGCAGCUAGUAGCUUUAUGGGUGCAUCAUUGCCAAGGGAUUUUGCAAAGACGAAAAGAUUAGUCAAGAUAAGUGUAAAAGUGACUGCAGCUGCUACUGUUACAAAAAAUCCUAUGGAACAAAUUAAAGAGUAUGGACUUUAGUUUCCUUCUAUUUUUGCUGUUUCAUUAAGCUUAAAGUGUUCUGGCUUUGGAGUUUUCUUUGAAAAGAAUUGUUGAGUUGGGUUUUUGCAUUUUAAGGAAUAAUAUCUUCUUUGGGAGUGGAAAAUUGGAGGAAUUCACCCUCUACAUGUUUCUACGUGCAGCAUGCUGAAGUUAUAUGUAUCUCAAGUUCUAAACUGCAAUGUGGUGUUGUUUGAAAUUUUUUAAUCAUUCAAACAGAAUAAUCUGAAGAUUCCUGCCCAACAGGUAUGCACUCCCUUCGUGGGCUAUGUUCGAACUGGGGAGGGCUCCGGUAUAUUGGAAAACCAUGAAUGGUCUUCCUCCAACUUCUGUGAGUGCAGCAUUGCUGGUUUUAUUAUUAUUAUUUUUGCUUUAUGUUGCUUGAAAGCAAGGGCAGGCUGUUGGCUGUUGCAACUCUUUUCUAUAGAGAUUGUCUUUUUUGACAGGGAAAGAAGGUGAAGCUUUUCUACAAUCCAGCUGCAACUAAACUUGUUCCAAAUGAAGAAUAUGGCAUUGCUUUCAAUGGUAAUUUGUGCUCAUGCACUCUUAGCUUUAAUAAUAUAAUUAACCAAAUUGGUUUCUGUAGAUUUCAAUAUAUAAAAGUCUGUACAAAUAAGAAGUACUACCUGUGAAAGGACUCUAGUUAUAUUAUAGACUGUAACACUAUGGCUUCUGUUAUGUCCUAAAAGUAUAAAACAAAUUUAUUCAUAAAAUGAAGUAUUUAAUAGGCUUGUUGUUACCAGUAUUACCAAGGUUAUUUAAUAAAUUAAGCAGUUUUUCUUCAUUUGGUUCUAUAGCAACACUCAGAAAUUUGGUUCUUGACAUUAUUACAGAAAAUAGGAACAUUUUGAUUUUCUUCUGCAUUAUCAGGAGAUUGCCAUCAAAAACGGCAAAAAGAAAAGAAAAUGAAAGUAGGGGGGAUAGAAUAACUUGUAAUCAUUUCAAAUACCUCACAGUUGAAUGACCUUGGUUCAUGGCAUGACUCAAAUGGAUCUUUGAUAAUUUCCACAAUUUGUUUUCCAUAGCUCAGCUACCAUUGGUUAAGUGAGUGGUGCCUGUAGUUCUUUCUUCAGUGGUUUAUCUAGGGGUUCUAGUAUUUGAUUCAUUGUUGGGUCGACUAUAGGUUUUGUAUGCAAGUAGAUAAUUGAAGUCCUUGGCUAACAACUUACUCAACUGUAACUCUGCAGGAGGUUUCAAUCAGCCUAUCAUGUGUGGUGGUGAACCGAGAGCAAUGCUGAGGAAAUCUCGAGGCAAGGCUGAUAGUCCAAUAUACACCAUCCAGAUAUGCGUUCCUAAGCAUGGUUUGUAACAUUCACAAAUUUUUUUCUCUUGGACAGUUCAACUCUCUCCUCAACUCCUAAAAUCUACUUUUACUUUGGCAGCUGUGAACUUGAUCUUCUCAUUCACAAAUGGAGCCAAUUGGGAUGGUCCUUACAGACUACAGUUUCAAGUUCCGAAGUCUUGGCAAAACAGAGCAAUUGAAUUCUUUAACCAGGUAAAUUUAUGCAUACUUGGGCUCUAUGAUUCUUCUGCCUCUAGGUUGAAGAUAAUUGUCCUGUGCUAUGAACACAUAUUACAUUUCGCAUUCGUGAUUGUCAUACCUGUAACUAUUUGGAAGUGAAGCAAAAUUUGGCAAGCCAUGCAUUACGAAAAAAAUGUUUCUUCUAUGUUGCUGGCAGGGGGUAGGGAAGGUGGAUCUGGAAAGUAAAUUUGAAGAAUUCAUUUUUUAUUUUGACCUAAACUAGAGAACUCAUUGCCAAACCAUGCAAUAUUGUGAAUUUCUCUGUUUCAUUUUACACUUGAGUUAAUUUCUAUUUGGAAUGAUUGAAUUGGUUCAGACUAGACAAGUGAGAGAAUAAUGUAACCUGAGACAUGUGAAAUCUUGUAUCACUGUGGCAGGGGCUGGCAGAGGAGUUGAGUCAAGAAGGUGCAUGUGACAGGGCAAUCUUUCCAGACACAAAUAUUGUUGUUGAUAGAUGUGUUAUGAUCGGGAACUUAUCCAAAGAAGGAGUAAAUAAACUUCUUAUCUGUGUUCUUCUUUAUUCUACAUCUUCAUUUCGUUAUUCUGCAUCUAAUUGCUAGCAUCAACUUUAUGUAUGAACUCUACAAUGGAACACUCUUGCAGGGUGAUCGUUGCAGCCUUGAUCUAGUUCCUGGAUGCAUGGAUCCUAACUCCUACUUAUACAACCCUCUCGCUAAUGUAGAUGACGGGUCAUGCCUAAUUGACUCUGAUUCUGAGGACUAGUGUCAGCCAGCCGCAUCUCAUUCACUCAUCUCAUAUCAUUUAAUACAAUCAUUUGGCGGAGGUCUAGAGUUACCAUGGCAGACUAUUUGCCGAAUGACUCCCUGCUCUUAACCGCUAGUCCUAUAGGGCAUUUGCCCUGCCUGUGACUUCUCAAGAAAUUCGAAUAUAAAGCUGCAAAUAUUCAUAUGAAUGAGGUACAGGAUAAUUAUAUUACAAAUUGGCUAUCAUCUCCACCCUGACAUUAGUUGCAGUAUAUCGUAACAGUUGUGACGAUUGAAAUGAGACAAUUCUUGUAUAGAAUGUAGCAUAAGGCAUAUAUCCUUAAAAUAAGUUCACCGCAUGAUUCCACUGAGUUUGACUUGCUUGGUGGCAAGGAUCUUUAGAGCUUUCUUUUUUAUGCUUAAGUAGGGUUUGGAGUUGGGAUUACAAUUAGAUAACAAUAUUUUAUUGACAGUUUGAUAAUAUCAGAAUGUAGAUUAGAAACCCUGCAGAAUCUUACUAAAAUUUGCUUGACAAUAAACCCUUACUAAAACGGCAGCAUCCAUACCCUUUGCCUUAACAUGAAGGCAAGGCCUCAUUUGACUAGUUGCAUAAUUCUUGCCAUCCAGAGAAAUUUAUGCUAACAGAUUGGCAUCCAGGAUAAUUGUAAAAAAAUUAAGUUUGGUCAAUGGUAAUUAUCUCUCCAACUGAAAAUAUCAUAUCUCUGUCAAGUCUACCUAAUGAAAAAGGACAGACAGAGGAAUAGGAUAUCCAUGACAAUGAUUAAAGAUGGAAAGCAAUGUUAAAUGUGCUGAAAGCUCAUCAGCUUGGUUUUAAUUAGGACCAUCAAACGCCCCUGUUCAGCAGCUAGAGGACAUAGAUAAUAAAUCUUUCUGGCAACGCAUAAUGAAAAAGAUGUACAACUAAACUAUUAGCUAUGCAUCAAUAUCAAACUGGUCCAGUUCUACCCAGGUUUCUGGGUCAAGGCCCUGCCAAACUUCAAAGACAAGUGAAAGCGCAAAGGCUUUGCAUGCCAUGAAAACUGGUCCUGUGAUUCUUGUAAUAUGACACGAUUUGACCUGUCAAAAAACCAUUGACAGAAUGGUCGUAGGACGAAAGUUCUUUUAUGAAUUCAACUUCUAGAACAGGACAAAGAAAGUAGUACAAAACACAUCCUAGGCUCUAACUUUAACAUGCUUAUCCUAUGCCAAAAAGAAUAUUGACAAAUGUGAAAUGACUGCAAGCAAGCAAUGUAAGCACCCCAAGAAAACAGAGGCCACAUCGAAAAAAAAAACACAAGGAUUAGAACAUUGACACCCCAUUUUAACUUGUUUUCUAAACUACCAUUCCCCUUUUGCUUUUUCCCCUUUGAGCAGCAAUUUACAUUGUCUUCUUCAAAUUUGACGUUGCCAUUUGAGCAAUUCUUCUUAUCUUAACAAGCCCUCUUUCAUGGUACCAGAAACAAGUGGACAUUUUCUCUUGCUGUCUUCGUACUUGCCAGCAAGGGAAUCGAAUAGGAUUCCAGCACCAACACCAACAGCCAAAUCAAUGGUGUGACAACCCCUGGUACCUAGCAACCUCACAGCUUGAAGCACAUUCAAUGUAUCAAAUAACCAUGCCAAUUCCCAUCUACGCAUUCGCCUCAUUUCGAACGACGCAAUCACAGAUCCAGCAACAUGGCCCGAGAAGAAUAGGAAGAACGAUACAUUCCCUACUGGAAAAUCCACUCCUGAACCUACAAAUUCCUGUCAUUCCAUGAUUGAAUCAGCUGAUCAAACCCAAUAACCAACCAGAGUUAAGAAAAAGGGAUUACGACUACCCUGUUCCUGACAACUAUAGACAAAGACAAAGAUACCAUUGACAGUGUUGUUCAUUAUCUUCAGAAAUCAAUCAAACAUGAUCAUACCAAUUUUAUGGAAAUGAAAUCAAACAAUUCAAAUCAGGGAAGGAUAAGUUUUCAAAUGUUAAGAACCUGGGGUAAUGGGAGCUGCGUGGAGUAACCAAGAAUCCCACGACAAGUAAACAUGAACAAAGCAGAUAUUGUAGCCCUUGGCCGACACUCGAUUAGCCAUGUCCAUAGUAUAUAAACUGUCUGCACCCCUACAAACACCUCACCCCAAAACAUAUGUAUCCAAAGAUCAGAUCAUGCUUUUUGCUGUAAUCAAACUUUCUUAGAGAAAAGUUAGAAACCAUUCAAAGUUAUAUUAUAUAUUGACAUGUUAAAAAAGCUCUUAUGACACUUUUCAAUUUUUACCUAUACCUUAUGUCAAUGCCACACGAAAUAUAAAAUAUAAAUAAUAAUUUAAUUAAUAAUAAUUAAUAAAUUGGUAGUAAUAACAAAUUAUUUAAUUUAAAAUAAAAAUAUAAAAAUUUAACUAAUUGUAAUAAAAAAAUGACUUAUUUAAAUUUUUAAAAUAAUUUAAAGAUUUUUUUAAAUAUUAUAUUUCAAUAUAAUAAUUCUUAAUCUGAUACAUUUUUAAUUAAUUGCAUUUGAAGAAUGCAUAAGGGACUCAUAAAGGUAGAUCUAUAAGAUCUCCAUGUGUGGAAUCAAUUUUUUUUGCCUCUUUGUUUUUACUAAUAAAUACAUUGUGAUGAAAAAAAAAGCAAAAAGAAAUCAAUGAAAAUAUACUUGAAAAAGUUCAUGCAAUUUAUUCUUGAGGAAACAAUACUCAUGUUCUAAGAGCUCCAAAGCUCUCAGGCACCUUCAUUUGACAUGCUAAAACAUCUCUUUAGCCAUAUCUUAAAGUGGGUAAUGAGGUUGUUUCUGAUUAAAAAUAAAAUAGUGAAAGGAAACGGUAAACUUGGAAGUUGGAAAUGGAGUAGUAUAAAUGUUUUGACAUUAAAAAAAGGGGAUUUUUUUUUAUCUUUUAAAAAUAACGUGCUUUUGUAAAUAACCCUCAUGAUAAUUUUAACUGUUUUUAGCAAAAAGAAUAGAUUUUGGGACAAAAAUGCUCUUAAUGAGCCAUCUUCGUUAGCGUGCAUUAUCAAAUAGGUGGAAAAUAGGAAAAAAAAUAAAUUUGCAAAGAUUGGUUGUGCAAAAUACCUUUUUUUUUUUGCGAAGGUUGUGCAAAACAAAAUAAUGUUGCAUGAGAUGGGUUUUCAGAUAUUUGGGACAUGACAUUCAGAUAAUAGAAGAAGAGAGAUAUUAAAUCGAACGAGGAACCAGUCGUCAUGAAUGGAAAGCUUAGCUAAUGAUGUGAAACCAGAAAUCCUUGAUACGGUAGUGAAUUGAAAGGAGAAAGAUGUGAAUCCAAAGCAGGAAAUGGUCUUGCUAUAGCAAGCCAUAUGUGAGACAGUUGUCGCAGGGCAGGGUUUAGAGUUUGUGAAACGUCAUGUUGGGAAUGUGUGACACGGCACCGCUCAGAGUUGGUGAGACGCCAGAGUUAAGAGUUGGUGACACGUCAUGGUGAGAAUCUGUGACACGCCAACGUUCAGAGUUGGUGAGACGCCAUGGAGGGAAUCUGUGACACGCCAGAGUUAAGAGUUGGUGACACGACAUAGAGGGAAUCUGUGACACGCCAACGUUUAGAGUUUGUGAGACGCUAUGGAGGGAAUCUGUGACACGUCAAAGUUAAGAGUUGGUGACACGCUAUGGAGGGAAUCUGUGACAUGCCGGCAUUCAGAGUUCGUGAGAGGCCAUGGAGGGAAUCUGUGACAUGCCAGAGUUUAGAGUUGGUGACACGCCAUGGAGGGAAGCUGUGAUACUCUAGAGUUAAGAGUUGGUGACACACCAUGGUCAUGGUUUAAAGUGUGUGACACGGCAUUGCUUGAAAAGUUGACACGCCAUGGUCAUGGUUUAGAGUGUGUGACACGAUAGUGCUUGAGCAGCUGACACAUCAUGGUUUGAAAUAGAGAGAGGAAAAAAAAGAGGGCAGUUAACGUGGUAAUCGUUUAGACUUUCACUGAAUUAAUUCCCUUUUUUCAGAAUCAAUAAGAAUAUUAAAAGGCCAUUUUUCAUUUUAAACAAUUAUUAUUCAGAAUUCAUAACGUCUAUGUGAUUCAUUUCUCAUUCCAGCCGGUACCAGAGUGUUCGAAAAGGCUAUUUGAAAGCGUAAUGACACCACAGCACCAGCAACAAUGUCAACCAUGAAUGAAGAGGUCAAUGAGUCUCAAAUUAAAACAUUCUUGUGUUCGUUAAUUUUUUGGUUUUUCCUAGGUUUGUUUGAUAUGUUCGGGUUUUUUGUUUUGUUUUGCAAAUGUUUAGACUGUAUUUUCUUACUGGUUUGAUGGUUGUUGGGGUUAAGUCGUAGUGAUUUUAGGGGUUUUGGGUGUUUACCGUGUGAUGCCAUUGUUAUUAUAGUUAGUUAUUGACGCGUCAGCUUUAUAUGAUUUGAUUUGAUAUGCAUGGCAUGUGACAACAUUUUACUUGAUAUGCAUGGCGUGUCACAACAUUUUACUUGUUAUGCAUGGCGUGUGACAGCAUUUUACUUUAUAUGCAUGGCGUGUAACAACAUUUUACUUGUUAUGCAUGGCGUGUGACAGCAUUUUAUUUUAUAUGCAUGGCGUGUGACAGUAUUUUACUUGUUAUGCAUGGCGUGUCACAACGUUUAACUUGUUAUGCAUGAUGUGUCACAACAUUUUACUUGUUAUUCAUGACGUGUCACAACAUUUUACUUGUUAUGCAUGGUGUGUCACAAUAUUUUGCUUGCUAUGCAUGGCGUGUCACAACUUUUAUUCCUUAUUGCACAUGACGGCUUAACUCAUUGAUGCAUGUGUGCCAUGUUUUGUAGAUCCAGCGUAGAUAGUAUGAGGAUCUUGACAGUUUGCUAAUUGUGCCAAGGGAGAAGUGGGCGUUCAACGUUGCAAUUAACACCCACUGUAAGUGGUCGCAACUGCAUUACAUCACAAAGACUCUCCAACAGAAGGAGGAGUACGAUGCAGUUAAGCGUACCUGCUUCGAAAUGCUCCUAGACGUCUAUCCACAUGGGUACUUUUGUGCCGGUCUCCUGCACAGCAUCAUGAUUCAUCGGAUCAGUGAGAGCCAGUCAAUGGACCACGAGCUAUGGUUUGCCAUUGGCAAGAGCAAGGCGCGGCUAUCAAAGCAGGAGUUUUGCCUCAUCACCGGGGUUGAAGUUUGGUCCAAUGCCUGAUGUGUUCAAACGACCGUACGAGGUUGCUGUGGCAAGAAUUCAUGAUAGAUACUGGAACGGGCAGGAAAACAUUAAGCUGCAGGCUUUGCUUGAUACUUUCCGUGGGGGCAACUUCCAACGACCAAGAGACGCGACCAAGAUGGCACUCGUCUUGAUCGCGAAUAACAUUUUAUUUGGUCAAGACUACCGUAGACGGGUAGCACCUUGGUUGCUAUCAUUGGUGGAGGACAUCGACGAUUGGAAUGUCUUCCUAUGGGGGCACUAUUGUUGGAAGCUGACCUUGGACUACCUUUUGAAAGGGUUCGAAGUACCUGACUCAAGUGUGACAAAGGAAACUCGGUUACGCUACAACAUUUACGGAUUCGCAUGGGUGAUACAGGUACUAUCACUUAACAUUUUUCAGUUUCCUUUUGAAAAAAAAAUUUAUGGGUGCACUCGUUUAUGAUUUACGGUCUAAUAAUGAUUACAUUUGACAUGCAGUUUUGGGUAAUGGAGGUAAUUUCGGUCCUCCUAAAAAUAGUUGCCCCCUCUGGUCCAAAGAAAAACGUCUACCCAUGAAUGUGAAGAUGAGAUUGCAAUCAGAAGUCAAAAGACUUCUACAAUGCAAUUCAGAAGUUAGAGUCAUCUGACCAUAUGAGUGAACAGCUGCUAAUUUUUACGUUAUAUUUGUAUAAUAAUUUUCUCUAUUCAAUAAUGAUUUUAUUUGUUUAUUUGCAGUUGUGGGCAUUGGAGACGUUGUAACCCACCGCGGAUGAGGCCUUCCGGGAGUAUUUUGUGGACCUUGAUGUCUCGUUAUCGGAGGGCCACGAGUACGUGCUAAUAGGGCACAUGGAGGAUCGGUCGAAUUUAGGCUUAGGUGCGAGGCAGAAAAGGAGAAGCUUGAAGGAGAAAAGAGCUUCUAGUGGCACGAAGCGGAUGCACACCGCCGCUGCUUUAAUUGAUGAGCUGUCGGGCCCUGAGUUGAUGGACGAAGGGGACGACCAUGGUCAAGGCAGUGAACAGCCGAUAAGGACAAUUGUAAUGAUUUUGUGUUCUCCAAUUCCAUAUGUGAUUAUUGAAUAACAUUUCCGUGUUUGCAGUUGGACCAUGCACCGGCAGCUCCAGAACCACUCAUCGAUCCUCCUCAAACACAUAAAUGCCUCUAUGACAUCGUUUACCUUAGCUCAAACCACCUUUCAAAAUUCAAUUACUUCAGUUGUUUUCCACCAGCCUUCAAUAGUUUAUUUUUCAUAUUAAAAAUCACUUUCUAACAGUCCCCCAUGAUUUGAAAUCUGGUGCACUCCAAGAAGAGUUUUGAGCAUUUCAAAUCUCUCCCUGGAUAAACCUUUGGUUAAUAUAUCAGCUACUGAACCUCUGUAGUGCAAUGCUUGAGUUCAACCUCUUUUUCAUUCACUGCCUCUCCAAGAGCAUGAUAUUUUACCUUGAUAUGCUUGGUUCUCCCAUGAUGAAUUAGAUUUUUGGCUAUUGCAAUGGCAGAAAGAUUAUCAACAAAAAUCAUGGUGCUCUUAUCUUGUUUGAAACCAAGAUCAUUAAGAAUUUUCCUCAACCACUUCAACUAAUUUACAGCUGCUGUAGUUGCUAUGUACUCAGCUUUUGCAGUACACUGUGCAACAAUACUUUGCUUCGUUGAAUUCUAUGAGAAAAUUGCACUAUUGAAAGAAAAACAGAACCCAGUUGUGCUCUUAGAAUCAUCAAGUGACCCUGCCCAGUCACUAUCACUAUAUCCAACUAAAUCCCCACUCUCUUGUUUCAUAAACCUCAGGCCAAAAUCAGCAGUUAUUUUAAUAUACUUGAGGAUUUUUUUGGCAGCUUUAAAAUGUAACUGUGUAGGAGCUUACAUGAAUCUGGACAAUAAACAUGUAGCACACAUCAAAUCUAGCCUAGUUACUGCCAAAUACAACAAUGAACCUAUUAGACUUCUGUAAAUUGAAUCAUCAAUAGCUGCAGAACCAUCUUCUUUACAAAACUUAUUUCCAAAAGCUAGAAGAGUUGCUACAACCUUACAAGCAGACAUGUUGAAUUUCUUUAACAGAUCCUUGGCAUACUUAGUCUGAUGUAACCACACUUCUUCACCAGUUUGUAGAAUCUCCAUGCCUAAGAAAUAAGUCAUUAACCCUAGGUCUAUCAUUACAAACUCUUACAUCAUCUGGCUUUUAAACUCAAUCAAUGAAUCACCAUCAGGUCCAAUGAUUAGUAAGUCAUCCACAUAUACUGCAACAAUUAACAUUGCAGUAUUUUCAAGUAUCUUCACAUACAAAGUCGACUCAUUUGUGCUUUUUAGUAGACCUUGACUGGAAAAAUAAGCAUCUUCCUUGUCAUACUAGGCCCUGAGUACCUGUUUUAAGCCAUACGAUGCCUUAACCAGUUUACAAACCUUGUCCUCUGCCCCUGGUUCAACAUACCCUUCAAGGUGCUCCACAAAGACAUCUUCAGACAGAUUACCAUUUAGAAAAGCAGCAUUUACAUCCAAAUGGUAUAUCUUCCACCUUUCUUUAGUAGCUAAUGCAGCAAGCAUCCUAAUUGUGUCAUAUCUGGCAACCGGUGCAAAAGUUUCCAAAUAAUCAACUCCAUAAGUCUAAGCAUAACCAUUGACCACCAAUUUGGCUUUUAUAUUUGUUUAUUGAGCCAUCAGAAUUUAGCUUAGUUCUAAAUAUCCAUUUGACUCCUAUUAUCUUGUGAUAUGUAGGUCUGUCUACAAGUAACCAGGUAUUAUUUUUCUUUAUCAUGGAGAUCUCAGCAUCCAUAGCCUUUCUCCAGUUUUCAUCCACAACUGCUUCAGAAUAAGUGACAGGAUCAACAGUAGCAAGAUUACAUUUGCUGUAUAUAUCUUCCAAUGUCUUUGACCCUCUUACAGCUUUACUUUCAUCUUCAAUAUCAGAAUCAUCACUUUCCAACAUAAGUUGAUGAUUAUCCAAAUCUUGACUACCAGGAACAGGUUCUACAAUCUUUUUUUUCCAGUUCCAGAAAUGACUUUUAUUAAAGACCACAUCCCUACUUAUAACCACUUUGUUUGCAUCUAAAUCAUAUAGUCUAUAUCCUUUGGAUUUGUCACUAUAGCCAAUAUGCACAGCAAUAAAAGCUUUAACAUCAAAUUUUGAUCUCUUCACAUAAGGAAUUCAAGCAUAGCACAUACAGCUAAAGACUUUAAAAUGAAAGACAGAGGGUUUUUGUUCAUACUGGAUCUCAAAAGGAGUUUUGAACACCAAUUCUUUAAUGAUGUUUCUAUUUUGAAUGUAGUUGGUAGUGUUAACUGCCUCAACCCAAAAUUUCAUAGGGAGAUUACACUGUAAUAAUAAACACCUUGCCAUUUCAGCAACUGUUCUGUUUUUCUUUUCAGCCUUACCAUUCUGCUGUGGACUAUAAGCAACUGUUAAUUGAUGGUGAAUCCCAGCAGUUGACAAAAGCUUCUCAAAUUCAUUUGAAGUGUAUUCAGCUCCAUUAUCGGUCCUUAACACCUUGAUGCUUAGGCUAGCAAAGUUCUCAACUUGUGCUUUGAACUCAGAAAAACUCCUUAUAGCUUCUGAUUUAUUCUUCAAGAAGUAAAUCCAACAGUAAUUAGAGAAAUCAUCAAUAAACAGGAUAUAAUUCCUGCUUCCACUCAGUGAGGGAUUCUUCAUAAGACCACUCAAGUCAGUAUGAACUAGCUCCAACUUCUUUGUAACUCUCCAACUACUUUCCUUAGGAAAAGGUUUCCUGGUCUGCUUCCCAAGCUAAUAGACAUCACACAACUUCUCUGGUUUAACAAUGUUAGGUAGACCUAUUACAAGGUCUUUUGAAGUCAUUGUUGUCAGUGAAUUAUAAUUCACAUGACCAACUUGUUUAUGCCACAAUUCAGAUAAAUCUUUCUCAGCAUAGAGAGCUAGUUGUUUACUUUCAGACAAUUUCAUAGGAUAACAUUUAUUCUUCAUGCUCACAGUUAAUAAUUCAACACCAGCAGGAUCGAAUAUUGUGCAUUGCCUAUCUUUAAACAAUAAGGCAUAACCAUUAUCAUCUAAUUGACCUACACUAAGUAGAUUCUGAUCAGCUUCAGGCACAUAAUGCACAUCAUGAACAAACCUCAUACCAGAUGCAGUUUUUACUCCUAUGGUGCCUACUCCAAGUAUCUUCAUGUAUAGACCAUUACCUAUUUUCACACAAGCCCUAUAACUUUUAUCAAGCUCAGUGAAAAGAUUAACAUUACUUGUCAAGUGGUUUGAGCAGCCACUGUCAAUCAACCGGGUGCUCUUCUCAUCAAUCUCAUCAUUUGCCUUAGCCAUAAACAAUACCUCCUCAAAUUCAUCUUUUUCUUCAACCACUGCAGCCUUGCCUUCAACUUCUUGUUUCUUCGCUUUACACACUUUCUCCACAUGUCCAAGUUGCUGGCAAGAUCGACACCUCACAUGAGGUCUAUACCAACAGUACUUUGGAGUAUGAUUAGUCUUUUUACAGUGAGUACAGGGAGGAAAUUUAUCAUGACUCUUCCCUUGUUUUGCAGAUCCAGACUUAGUGCCUUUAGCACUAUUCUUCUUAGAACUUUCAGAUUUAGCUUUCAAACCCUUAGUUUUAGCUACUAAGGCAUUCUCAACAGAGUCUUCAUCCUUGAGGGCUUUUCUCUACUCAAAAGCCAAUAUAGUAGAGAUCAAUUCCUUUGAAUCCUCAAGUGAUGUCACUUUUGAUUCAAACUUGUCUGACAUACUCACCAAAAUUUUGUUGACCAUCCUUUGAUCAGUGACUUCUUGUCCCAACAUUCUGAGCUGAUUCACCAGCUUCAACAUCUUAUCCAUAUACUCUUGAAUACCCUCAUUUUCCUUCAUCUUCAUCACCUCAAACUGUUUCAAUAAAUUCAUAAUCUGUAUCACCCUUGUUUUGUCAUUGCCUUAAUAUUCUUCUCUGAUGUUAUCUCAUACUUGCUUAGGAUCCUCCAAAUGCAUAAUCUUGACAAAGAUUGACUCUGACACAGUUGACUGCAGGCUAAUCAAAGCCUUGUAUCUCUUUGCAACUUCCCCCGAGUGUUGCUUAAUCUGAGCUAAAGUCGGAUUAGCAUGCCUUUGAAUAGGCAUCUCACUAGACUCCACCACAUCCCAUGGGUCGAAUGCCUUAAGAUAUGAUCUCAUCUUCACUGCCCAGAAAGGAUAAUUAACACCAAUGAAUACAAGAGGUGCAGUUGCACUAAUUCCAACUAUUGCCAUAUAGAAAUUGAAGAUGAUACGAUCAAAAGCAAAAUGUUACAGGUCCCUUGAGAAAAAACACUCUGAUACCAUGUAAAAGAACUCGAUUUUCACUGACAGAGGCUAAAUAAGAAAAUGAAAAAGAAAGAGAAGAAUAGAGUAUCAGCUUAGAAGUAAAAUGAGAAUUUCAUUGAUCAAGAAGAUAUAUAAAAAACAACGGCUACAAGCAAAUAUAUUCACUACUAAGAGCUGUUCCUUAGAUGUAGCCUUGAAAAACCUAACAAAAUCGGAUCGAAGCACAGAAAACGGAAGGAGAGCUUUCUAUUGCUCUAACAGUCAAAAAACAAAGAACAAAGAAAAUAACAACCAAAUGACCAUUCGACUAACAAAAACGACACUCAUGAAGAACGUUUUACAAGAAAAAUUAAAAGACUAGUGAAACGACACUAAUGGUCAUCGUUUCACAAACUUAAAACACUUAAAUGCCUUUACGACAUUGUUUUACGUAGCUCAAACCACCUUUCAAAAUUCAUUUACUUCAGGUGCUUUCCAUAAGCUUUCAGUAGUUGAUUUUUUAGAUUAAAGAUCACUUUCCAACAAAUUCUUCUUUGUUUCCUUUUUGUUGGGUUUCACUCUUUCCAGGGUUUAAGGUUUUGAGUUCUUUUGCUUUCUAGUGGGAAGCUCACACGCCUCACGGUUCACAACUAUUUAAAGCGUGAGAGUUUAGCUUGGGCCCUAAACUCAUACAAUACAACGGUAAAUAUUAAAAAAAAACACUAGCCAAUACGUUCAAAUAUUUUAAACAGCUAAAAUAUUCUACUCCUAAACAUAGAGCGUGGACUUACCCACAACCCUAUUUGGUGGAGCUAAGGUAUAAAAAUAAUUCACAAGUACUUAUAGGCAAAGGAUAAAGUUGUUAGAAUACAGAAAAUAUUAGGAAAUGGUUUGAAGGGGUGUAUUUAUCUCAUUUUCUUAAAAUUUUUAUUCGGAUUCAUUAUUGGUGUGCAAAAGAGUUUUUUAGGAUAAACUUUAAAUACACAAUAAGUUCAGUCAUUGACUACAUUUUGUAUGGACAAAAUUAAUUCGCUGAACAUUUAUUAAUAUAUGACAAGAUUAUUAAAUUUUUUAUAGAAUUUUUCUAUAGCAAAACAAUAUAGAAGCAAUUCAAAAGAAUUUGAAGGAGAAAGUGAUUGUAAGUUGUUUCUUUGUUGAUAUAAUUUCAUAAAAACCAACAAAUUUUAUUUAUAAACAAAUUUAUGUCUCUUUGUUCAAAGUUAAUCAACCCUUUGAACAAAUAUAGUUGUUUGAGCAAAUACAACUAUUCAACCAAAUCAGGGAGACUGCAUUAAUUAUGUCAUUUUUCUAUAAAUGUUACGUUAACUUAUAUUAAUCUAGGGUGAGCAACAUUGUAAGGUUAUCAUGGAUCGUGGUGGACCAAUGGGUUUGGAUCGAUUUUAAGGUGAUCUUGUGACUUAACGAGUGAUCCAUGAUUCAAAUUUUGUAUGGCCGACACUUUUAAGGUGGUCCAUUGUCCUAGACAUUUUAUCUAUUUACCCAAGAUUAAAAGACUAGACUUGUUCCUACGGUUUAGUCCUUCUGAAAUUGAGUCUUGAAUCAAUUCUAAACUAACAAUCAUUUAAAAAAUUAUAUAAAAAAUUAUAUAAAAAAUAAGAUAAAUAUUUAGAAAUUAUAAGACUUGAACUCAUAAUAAGAAAGAUGCUGUUUUAAAAGAUCUUAACCAUAUUAAGUUAAAGAGUUACAUAAUAUUAAAACAUUUAUAUCCAAUACAAACAAUAAAUGAAUAAAUAAAAAAUCUACCAACAGCACCAAACAAAAUGUAAGACUUUUAAAGUAUUGUAACUUAAAAAUAAAUGUGACCUAUAGCGCGGAUAUGUAUGAAUUUUUCUUAUAGUAUUUAUGAAUUUGAUAUACUAUUUGAGUGUAAUAUUAUUAUUUUUUAAAUAAUUAUAAGAAUUCUUAAUCGUAUCAAAUCAUAAGCUUAAUCAUAGAGUUAACCUUACAAAAAUAUGACCUAAUCCACGAUUAAAAUUUUUUAAAACUGAUCUUAUACAAGUGAUGUAUAAUCAUGACUUUAAAAAAAUCCACCUAAACCAUGCAGUAGCGAAGGGAAUGGGCCGUUAGUAGGGUUCCCGUCUCACAAAAGUUUUAAAAUUUCAUAAUUUACCUUUUGAUUUUUUUAGAAUUUUAUCCUUACAAUAAUUUUUUUGUUUAGUGAAAUGCUUUAUAGUAAUUAGUCAACAAUUAAUUUUAAUAGACUUAAAGAUUAAAUAAAAUCUAUUGUAGAAGAAUUAUUCCCUAAGCCACAUUGUUCUAAGAACUUAGGAUCAACUUAGCUCUUGUCUGUCCCUUCAAACACGAAAUUCUUGCUCCGUCACUAAAAAAUGCUCACCUCUAAAUUAUUAGAAGACAAAGACAACCAUUUUCCUAAUUUCAAUAAUAAUGAGUGAAAUGAAAUUGCAACUAGACAUGUAGUGGUACCUUGGGUAUGGGGUGUGAGGUCUACAUGGAGUAAGAGAGAGUGAGUAAAGGCAUGGGGGUGAAAGAGAGGGUGUGCAAAGUGGGUCCAAAUCAAGGCAUGGAGGAAAUAGCCAGGAUUUGAGUCAAAUUAUCAAAGCACAAAAAUAUAGGUGUGAUUUUCUUCACUUUGCAUUAUUGGGCCAUCAAUAUGAGCUUGUUUCAUUAUGAUUUUUGUUGAUUCUCUCAUUUAGUAUCUACUCCUCCUCCUAAGUAAUGACAGGAGUCAAUACUGUAUAAUUAUCAUUUUGGAAGCAAAUUCUUCUGAUAUCAUGGAACUGUUUUAACUUUUAAAUCAAGCAACUUGAAUUGAAUGGCAUCACUUUUUAAGACAGCAGAUAACAUUCCCUUCCCUCCAGGCUCCAACAUUCAGACCAGUUAAUAGCUUAUAUAUAUAUAAUAUUAAUUUGAUGUAGUUGCCAACGUUGACAUAUCUAUAUAUUGAAAUCAAUAUUGUAAAUUAUAAUAUCCUUAACACUGAUGGAGUAAUUAUGCCAACUAUGGAAUUCUUAAAUUCUACUCCAGAAAGUGGCAGGGGGCCUGCAACAAAAUACUCAGGUAGAUGAUGAGGUUUACAAUUAUUUUACAUAUUCUCCAUUGGAGAACGAAGCAUGUCAAUUUGUUUACAGGAACCACGACAUUCUCACUUGGAAAAGCAUGAUUUCUAUUGACGUAAGCAAAACCUUCAUCUCUUUCUUAUGAUGCUUCUGUUUUAUCAGAUUAAUUAUUACUAUAUAUCAGAUGCAUUUGUUUUUUCUUCUCUAUCAGCCUUUCAAACAAAAGAAACCGAUCUUUCAAAAAACCAGAUUCAAACAACCAAAAACCAAGCCACAAUUUUCUAUCAAAAAAAUCAAAGAAAACACCCUAAUCUAGCAACCACAAUUACAAUCCACAAUAAAAGAAAACCAAAAUAAAAUAUAUAUAAAAAAAUACACAUGGAGAAAGGAGAGAAACAGAGUGAGUUUGGGGGAUUUUUUGGUUUGGGUUUCUAGGAAUAGAUUUUUAUUUUUAUUUUUUGGUUUAUUGGUUGAAGCUUAAAGGAAGGAAGAGUUUAAGGAGCUAUUACCGCCGGUUUAGGAGAGAAAGAGAGGCUUGAAACGGCGUCGGAUAGGGAAAGUUAUUGGGCUUGGGUGCGUUGCCAGUAGGAAAGGAAAAAGAGGGUUACCGUCGGUCGGUUACAAAGGCAAAGGAGGGAGGCUUUGAGUGAGGAAAGAGAGCUGGUGAAAGAGCAGAGAAAAAGCGUUCAGAGAGAAAAAGGUAACUGGUAGAAGAGAAAGAGGAAGAAGAAAAAAAAUAAUAAGAAGUCAGCUUGGGAGGGCCUCUAAACGACGCUGUUCUUGAGUACCUGGGAGAGGCUGCUACCAGAGCUCCAGAUUGGAGUGUUUUGGGAAGCACGGUGGGCUAAGGACACGGGCUUGGGUGCUUACAAACAAAUCAAUUAUUUUGGGUUACUGUCUAAGCCCAAACAAGGUAAAAUCCUUUCCUUUAUUAUUUACAUGGAUAUAUUGCCUAGCCCAAUAUUGAGUUGAGGAAUAUUAAAAGUUAAAAAUAAUUAUAAAUAGNNNNNNNNNNNNNNNNNNNNNNNNNNNNNNNNNNNNNNNNNNNNNNNNNNNNNNNNNNNNNNNNNNNNNNNNNNNNNNNNNNNNNNNNNNNNNNNNNNNNNNNNNNNNNNNNNNNNNNNNNNNNNNNNNNNNNNNNNNNNNNNNNNNNNNNNNNNNNNNNNNNNNNNNNNNNNNNNNNNNNNNNNNNNNNNNNNNNNNNNNNNNNNNNNNNNNNNNNNNNNNNNNNNNNNNNNNNNNNNNNNNNNNNNNNNNNNNNNNNNNNNNNNNNNNNNNNNNNNNNNNNNNNNNNNNNNNNNNNNNNNNNNNNNNNNNNNNNNNNNNNNNNNNNNNNNNNNNNUAUAUAUAUAUAUAUAUAUAUAUAAACAACAUGAUACAAAUAUAAAAAUUAUGAAAAAAUGAAAUGACUAUUUGAGAGAUUUUACCUAAAAAGGGCAAAAAGUUGCUUCUUUCUGGUGGAUUUCUUAGGUACGGAGUUCGAGAUGAAUUUUCAUCGAAGUGUCAGGAUAAAUCCGAAUUCUAUACUCCGAUACCCAUUAGUCCGAACAAUUGUUAUUUAAAAUAAUAUACAUAAAAAAUAAUAUAAUAAAAAUAAAUAUAUAAAUAAGGCAAUAAAUCAUGUUAAAUUAUCAAACAUGUUAUUAUUACUAACUAACUAAUUAAUAAACGUGGUCAUGUAGAUAUUAUCAUUUUAUAUUGUCAUAGCAUGCCACGUGUAUUUUGUUAAUGGGACGAGAACUCCCAUGAUGGGAUUUCCUCGAAAGACUUUUAGAGACGAGUUUUUUUCGGGGGAUAUCCAUAGGUGAGGAAAACUUCGAGACUUCACCAAAACGUUAGGAUGGUCUACGAACGAUUUUUCAAUAAAAGACUAUUGCUCUCAUUAUUCAAAAUUGAAUAAAUCAUGACAUCGUUUUACAACUGCAUCAUGUGCAUCCGUGAAGCCGAAUAAAAGGCUCAAUCAGCUAAUGUAAUAAAAAAUUAAUUAAUAAGCAAGGAUUAAGGAAAUAUAUGAAUAAAAUCAAAAGUAGGCUACAAUAUGAUAACUUAAGAUUAAAUAGUACCAUUUGUGGAACGGACGUCACGAAUGUGCUAACCCUUCUCCGUGCGUAACCAUACUCCCUAACUCGUUUUUAAAAAUCGUAGACCAGUUCUCUUUUUUUUGAUGGAUUUAAAAUUAAUUUGGAAUUUAGUCGUUUAAAAUCGAGUUAAUAGGUGACCAAUCGUACCUUUAAAAACCGAUUGGUGACGACUCAUAAUUUGUUUUUUCACCAUGUCUAACAGUCAGAUUUUUGAACCCGCACGUUAUAACAAGCUCAACUUGGAUUAGAGGUUUAAUUUAAGUCAAUAAAGGGUACCAAGCAAGCAAGCCAAGCCAAACCCAGCCUGCUUAAUUUUCUACACAAUGGGCACCCAAAAGCAAACCAUUGCUGGGGCCUGGGCUUGCUGGGCUCAAGUUUUACCACAUGCUUCAACCCUAGCUCAACUUAAAUUGAAGUUGACAUGCCAUAGUGAAAUGUUGUAGUAUCAAAGCUUAAGAGCUGGGAAAAGAGGUAAAAAUAAUCUGUUGAUUAUAUGGACCUUUAGCUCAGGUCAAGACGAUUGAUUUCUGUAUAGAUUAUAUGUAAUUACAUCAGAAGUCGGGCCAUAUAACUAAAGAAAUGUAGUUCACAGCUAGAGUCCUGAUGGUGCGGCAGUACCAGAAGCAACAAAUGUAGUCCAUUCACCUAAAUAAGUAUCUCACCAUGGUUAAGCAAACACCUUUGAAGUCCUAAAGAUUAAAGACUAGUCUCCAAUGCGGACACCUCAGCUGCUGAAAGCCAUCCUUUUCUUCUGAACUUCAGUAGGUAGCUUAACCUCAGUUGCCAGUCCGAUAACUUGAAGAAAUUUGAUUACACACCAAGCCAUGUCCAGUUGCCACCAUUCCAGACCAUGUCUGGCUGAGUAUUUGAAAGCAUGGUGGUUAUUAUGCCAACCCUCUCCAAAUGAAAGCAAUGCCAUCCACCUGAAAAAGUUUGCAGAUAUUUUUAUCAGUAACUUCUUAAGAAAUAAACUUGACAAGAACUAGAUGUAUAUUAGUACAAGGGAAGUCAAUUGUACCAAUUGUUCCUGGACAAAUCACCAGAAUUCCAUGCUUGCUUCCCCCACACAUGGCAAGCUGAAUUUACCAGCCAAGUGAUGUGGUAAAGCCAUACAAUCCUCACACCCUGCAAUGCUCGCACGUUAAUGCCUAGGCCUCCUUAUGGUUAGUAUGCUUAUUUGUCUUCGCUAAGUAAAAGUUUCACUUUUGAAGAUUAAAAUUAUACAGAAACUACUCCAGUCCAAAGUUGUUUGAUCUUCAUUCUAGCAAAUCGAAUGUAACACAAAUGGGCUCCCCAAAAGCAAAAUUUAUCUACUUGAGGAAUCAGAAAUGAUAACCCCAGCCCCACGUUUGUUACAGGAUUAUCUUUUUCUAACAAAUUGUCCAAACUGUUAUCAUAUUAGCAUAGAUAAACAUGGCCCAGCUUAAAGAUUCAAUUAGAUAAGACUUCCAACUUGUGAUUUAGUCCCCAAGCUAGAAUCUAACAUGCUUUCUCAUUUUUCCCUUCACUUUGAGCUAGAGUACAACUUCCUAUAGCUAUGUUUUUUCCUGUCAACUUAAUGACAAAAAUAAUUUGAAAGUAGGGCCACUAGCUUGGUGGUAUGAAGUAAAUUGCAAGUGGAAGGCCCACCAAUCAAACAAAGGGUUUAUGACUCUUUAAGGAUUUUUUUCGUCCUUUUUUCUUUUUCUAGUAACGAAAAGGGAUGGCUGCAACUCAUGCAAGAGACUAUGUUGGCGGAGCUCCAUGAAAACUUUUAGCUUAAGAUAUCUCUAUGCUCUAAAAAGGAAUAUUCAAGGCAAAAUAGGCUAAUCCUCAAAACAUGGGAAAAUUGAAAAACUCGCUUACCAUUCCCCAAACAAGGAAGGGAAACCCUCCUAGAGUAUAUAGCAAAACUCCAAGUGCAAUUGGAUGAAGAAUGUAGGUACCCUCAAGAAACUUGUAGAAGGGUUGCUGCCGUAGAUCCCCAACAUUGGUUGGUUCUCCACACUGCAAAUGUUCCAUUGAUACAAAACAUUAAGAAUAUCAAUUCGUUCUGUGCAUAUGUGAGUGCUUGCAUGUUUGAGAAAGAGAGCGAUAGAGUUACCUUUUCAAUAACGGUGUUGGUAUCAAAGAGCCAGCUCAUGUGGCUGAACCAAAAUCCUUCAAUAGGGCUAUGGGGGUCUCUGUUAGAAUCACAAAAUUGGUGGUGGUACCUAUGUGUGCUUACCCAACUAAUUGGAUUCCCCUGCAAACACCAAAACCAACAAUCAUAUAACAAUCAAAUGAUACUGCCAUUUCCAUGAAAAUAUUCCUCAAAAAUUUUUAAAGCUACCAACCUGAAGUGCCUGAACUCCACAAUAAGCAAAGAAGUACUCAAGCCAUUUUGGAACCUUGAAGCUUCUAUGAGAAAGAUUCCUAUGAAAAGACAAUGUAAUCCCUAGAAGUCCUGUCACCACAUAGAGUCCCACAGCAAGCCAAAAGGCGGGCCAAUUGAAAUGAAAAGGUGCAAAAAGGCUUAGCAAAUGCAUGCUUACAAUAACACCAGCAAUGGCCAUAUCCGAAGUGUUCCAUUUUCUUCCCCAAAACGCCUUUUUCUUCCUUUGCACCACCACAUUAGAUAACAAAAUUCUACCCGAGAUUUUCCCUUCUGGGUCGGGCUCGUUUGCUUCAACUGACACCCCAUUAGCCAAUGCCAACACUUUCCUAUUGCUGUAACUCCUAUUCAAACGAGUGAUA
Molecule: long non-coding RNA, 28540 nt
Filed under: Theobroma cacao (cacao)
Lineage: Eukaryota; Viridiplantae; Streptophyta; Magnoliopsida; Malvales; Malvaceae
Description: long non-coding RNA (TCAC_LNC003660)
Source: RNAcentral